AUUCACUUGUCGGAGUGCCAUAAGGCUGAGACCGUUUAUUCGGGAUCCGUUGAACCUGAUCUGGUUAGUACCAGCGAAGGGAACAGGAGAAGAUACUUA
This is a non-coding RNA of Vibrio mytili, 99 nucleotides long. The record is from Rfam. NCBI's taxonomy places the organism in Bacteria, Pseudomonadati, Pseudomonadota, Gammaproteobacteria, Vibrionales, Vibrionaceae.